This 492-nucleotide ribosomal RNA is filed under the name uncultured bacterium. RNAcentral describes it as "partial 16S ribosomal RNA". It matches the Rfam family "Bacterial small subunit ribosomal RNA", at positions 29 to 507 of the family's 1533-position model. The record is from RNAcentral.
AGUGAACGCUGGCGGUAGGCCUAACACAUGCAAGUCGAACGGCAGCACAGUAAGAGCUUGCUCUUACGGGUGGCGAGUGGCGGACGGGUGAGGAAUACAUCGGAAUCUACUUUUUCGUGGGGGAUAACGUAGGGAAACUUACGCUAAUACCGCAUACGACCUACGGGUGAAAGCAGGGGAUCUUCGGACCUUGCGCGAUUGAAUGAGCCGAUGUCGGAUUAGCUAGUUGGCGGGGUAAGGGCCCACCAAGGCGACGAUCCGUAGCUGGUCUGAGAGGAUGAUCAGCCACACUGGAACUGAGACACGGUCCAGACUCCUACGGGAGGCAGCAGUGGGGAAUAUUGGACAAUGGGCGCAAGCCUGAUCCAGCCAUACUGCGUGGGUGAAGAAGGCCUUCGGGUUGUAAAGCCCUUUUGUUGGGAAAGAAAAGCAGCAGGUUAAUACCCCGCUGUUCUGACGGUACCCAAAGAAUAAGCACCGGCUAACUUCGUG